Long non-coding RNA from Tarenaya hassleriana, 563 nucleotides. RefSeq lists it as uncharacterized. The transcript has 3 exons. The record is from RefSeq and is a predicted model, not a curated record. NCBI's taxonomy places the organism in Eukaryota, Viridiplantae, Streptophyta, Magnoliopsida, Brassicales, Cleomaceae.
AAUUUCAAUGGAUUCAUGCCGUGAGUAAAGAUCGUUCGUUCCAGAAAGAAUUCUGGGUUUAUCUCAGAAUUCAUCUUCUCAUAAUCAUAGAAACGAAAUCCCAAGGCGGAUCGGGAUCGACAACACAGGCGAAUCGACAAAUGCUCGAGAACAUCAGGAAGCACCGGCAUUAUCGAUUUAGUAAGGCAGAAGAAUCAAAGAAAGAGAAGAUGGUAUAGGAGAGAAGAACUCACAAUGGGAGUGUCCUUGAUGCUGAGAUGCGGGAGAGGAACCGGGGGAGAAGCGAACGAUGGCGGAGACGGAGGAGAAGCGAAGGACGGAGGAGAGCCGAACGACAGACACGAAGAAACGACGGAGCAGAGCUGAAUGACAGAGACAGAGCACAGGCGAACGAUAGAGAAGCGAAAGACGGAGAGAGACCGAGAGGCGAGAAAGCUGUUCUGAAGAGGAGAGCUGUUCUGAAGGGUGAAGAAGAGGAGGCCACGAUUCAAGAGAGAGACUUAGGGUGAAUUAGGUUUAAGGGUAUUUUUGUAAAUAUAUUAAAUAGUAAGGGUAUUUUUGUA